This 289-nucleotide unclassified non-coding RNA is filed under the name uncultured Actinomycetes bacterium. RNAcentral describes it as "uncultured actinobacterium contains 16S-23S intergenic spacer region". Lineage: Bacteria; Bacillati; Actinomycetota; Actinomycetes. The record is from RNAcentral.
UCCGAGUUGUCCCCGGCAGUCCUCUUAGAGUCCCCGGCAUUACCCGCUGGCAACUAAGAGCAGGGGUUGCGCUCGUUGCGGCACUUAAGCCAACACCUCACGGCACGAGCUGACGACAGCCAUGCAGCACCUGUGCUAGCCCCUUACGGACACCGGCUUUCACCGGCUUUAACUAGCAUGUCAAGCCUAGGUAAGGUUCUUCGCGUUGCCAGCACGUAAUGGUGGGGACUCAUGGGAGACUGCCGGUGUCAAACCGGAGGAAGGUGGGGAUGACGUCUUGGAAGCAAGC